GGGGUAGUAGCUCAAUGGAAGAGCAUGGGAUUGCAGAUCCCGGGGUUGUUGGUUCGAGUCCAGCUUGACCCC
Trichomonas vaginalis G3 is the source of this 72-nucleotide non-coding RNA. The record is from Rfam. NCBI's taxonomy places the organism in Eukaryota, Parabasalia, Trichomonadida, Trichomonadidae.